Molecule: ribosomal RNA, 1340 nt
Filed under: uncultured bacterium
Lineage: Bacteria
Description: bacterial SSU rRNA
Rfam family: Bacterial small subunit ribosomal RNA
Source: RNAcentral
GCUCAGGACGAACGCUGGCGGCGUGCCUAACACAUGCUAGUCGAGCGGGAAGCUUUGAAAUGAGACUUCGGUUGAUUUUCAAAGUGGAGAGCGGCGGACGGGUGAGUAACGCGUGAGUAACCUGCCCUACAGAGAGGGAUAACACAGUGAAAAUUGUGCUAAUACCUCAUAUGGUAGUAGUACCGCAUGGUACAGCUAUGAAAGAUUUAUCGCUGUAGGAUGGACUCGCGUCUGAUUAGCUAGUUGGUAAGGUAACGGCUUACCAAGGCGACGAUCAGUAGCCGAACUGAGAGGUUGAUCGGCCACAUUGGGACUGAGACACGGCCCAGACUCCUACGGGAGGCAGCAGUGGGGAAUAUUGCGCAAUGGGGGCAACCCUGACGCAGCAACGCCGCGUGAAGGAAGAAGGUUUUCGGAUCGUAAACUUUUGUCUUAGGGGACGAUAGUGACGGUACCCUAGGAGGAAGCCACGGCUAACUACGUGCCAGCAGCCGCGGUAAUACGUAGGUGGCAAGCGUUGUCCGGAAUUACUGGGUGUAAAGGGCGCGUAGACGGGCAAAUAAGUCAGAUGUGAAAUACCGGGGUUCAACUCCGGGGCUGCAUUUGAAACUAUUUGUCUUGAGUGCAGGAGAGGGAAGCGGAAUUCCUAGUGUAGCGGUAAAAUGCGUAGAUAUUAGGAGGAACACCAGUGGCGAAGGCGGCUUUCUGGACUGUAACUGACGUUGAGGCGCGAAAGCGUGGGUAGCAAACAGGAUUAGAUACCCUGGUAGUCCACGCUGUAAACGAUGAUUACUAGGUGUGGGAGGUAUCGACUCCUUCCGUGCCGGAGUUAACACAAUAAGUAAUCCACCUGGGGAGUACGACCGCAAGGUUGAAACUCAAAGGAAUUGACGGGGGCCCGCACAAGCAGUGGAGUAUGUGGUUUAAUUCGAAGCAACGCGAAGAACCUUACCUGGGCUUGACAUCCCAUGCAUAUCUAAGAGAUUAGAGAAAUCCUUCGGGACAUGGAGACAGGUGGUGCAUGGUUGUCGUCAGCUCGUGUCGUGAGAUGUUGGGUUAAGUCCCGCAACGAGCGCAACCCUUACUGUUAGUUGCCAUCAUUAAGUUGGGCACUCUAACGGGACUGCCGGUGACAAAUCGGAGGAAGGUGGGGAUGACGUCAAAUCAUCAUGCCCCUUAUGUCCAGGGCUACACACGUACUACAAUGGUGAGAACAGAGGGAAGCAAGACAGUGAUGUGGAGCAAAUCGCAAAAUCUCAUCUCAGUUCAGAUUGUAGGCUGCAACUCGCCUACAUGAAGUCGGAAUUAGGAGUAAUCGCGGAUCAGCAUGCCGCGGUGAA